RNAcentral lists this long non-coding RNA (1481 nucleotides) under Chrysemys picta bellii (western painted turtle). RNAcentral's name for it is "lncRNA (ENSCPBG00000026387.1)". The record is from RNAcentral. Lineage: Eukaryota; Metazoa; Chordata; Testudines; Emydidae.
AGCACUUGCAGCCAUGGAUCUGCUCUCCCCGGGCCCAGGAGAGGAGCCGAGCUGUGAGAGCCAGCGCCCGGCUCUUCAUGUUCUACCGCUUCAAAGCCAUCACCGAGGUGAGCAGCGCAGACCCUGCUGCCCCCCCCACCCCUCCAGCACUCACGGGAAGUGGGGGGAAUACAGACAGAGCUGGGCUCGUCCCGACCUAUGCCCUCAAUUUCUGUUUGGUGGCCCAUUAGGACCUGAAACCCAUGGUAGAGCAGGGCUACAUGGCCGGGCUGCUGACAAGCCAGGCCUUCGAUGCUCAGGAGGCCACCAGAUACUGGGCAUCUCAGGCUCUCUACUGGCUCUUCACGCCUUGCAAAGCUGUCGUGUACACCAAGACAGGGGCAGUGGUGAGCGUGCUGAGCAAGACGCAGAAGGAUGCCAGCUGCAGAGAGAACCCUGUCCAUGUUGCUAUGCUCAUCGCGAAGCACCUGCAGUCGAGUGACCUCAUGCCCUUCAGCUUCACCCUGCUGGUGGGCCUGCUGGAGAAGGAGGAGUGUGCAGACCAGCUGGCGGGCGUCAUGGAGGCGGUGCUGAGAGAGCAAGAAUCAGAGCUGCAGGGCCAAGUAAUGGCUGGGCAUUGGAGGCACCAUGCUGACAUCUCGGGCAGCUCCAUCUUGCCCCGUGCCUAGAAUUCCUGGGGCACGAGGGAGGAUGUGGAGGGGAGACAUCCCUUCUCACCAUCAUUGAUCAAUGGGACCCAUCCAUGCCCUGUCUGCAAGGGGGCCGCUGGGCACGGCCCUGUAAUGGUUUUCAGGCUUUGAUCCCAGGAGUCUGGCUUGCCCAGCUCACUCCCUGGGAAAUGUGCCCUAUCUCCAGACCCAUCCCCCAGCUGGAGGAACAGAGCCUGCGGUGGGGUCCCCCGUGUCCACUGACUCUUUGCCCAGUGGGCAUGGAUUGACGUACAGGAUGGAAAUGCAUCCCAGACGCUUAGACCCCACUCUGGUGCUGAAGCAGCCCAGGCAUGUUGUCACAAGGGGAGGUACAGCCGGGAUAUCCGGGGGGUGGGGUGUCACUGGGCAGCGGGAUUGGGACCCUUAGUUCUACGGUGCUGGAUCACGGGUGGGGGUUUCAAGGUACCGAACCCAGAACCCCCCUCGGCUCAGUCACUCGCUAGGAGAGUUUAUCCAUGGCCUCCGCCGGGCCAUGUGACUGCUGCCUUGUUUCUGAGCCUGCCCAGUUCCUCCUGGCCCUUGCCUGCCACCCACCCACAGCGGGGGUAGGGUCUCAGCCCCUGCUUUGCCUCCGCAGGUGCAGGAUCUCCAGGCGGCUCUUUCCUACACACUGAGCCCACCCCGGGGGGGGCGGCUGAGUGAGGGGACGAGAGACAUUCUCCACCUACUGGCCAGACAACACACCAAGGCCGCGGUCAGCAUCCUCCUGAAGAUGCCCUGGCCUUACAAACGGUGAGCGCCGGCCCCAGGGAAAGGAUAGAACACCCCACU